UCAAGAACGAAAGUCGGAGGUUCGAAGACGAUCAGAUACCGUCGUAGUUCCGACCGUAAACGAUGCCGACCCGCGAUCCGGCGGCGUUUAUUCCCAUGACCCGCCGGGCAGCGUUGCGGGAAACCACGAGUCUCUGGGCUCCGGGGGGAGUAUGGUUGCAAAGCUGAAACUUAAAGGAAUUGACGGAAGGGCACCACCAGGAGUGGAGCCUGCGGCUUAAUUUGACCCAACACGGGGAACCUCACCCGGCCCGGACACGGAAAGGAUUGACAGAUUGACGGCUCUUUCUCGAUUCUGUGGGUGGUGGUGCAUGGCCGUUCGUAGUUGGUGGAGCGAUUUGUCUGGUUGAUUCCGAUAACGAACGAGACUCUGGCAUGCUAACUAGUUACGCGGCCCCGCGCGGUCGGCGUCUGCAACUUCUUAGAGGGACAAGUGGCGUUCAGCCACGCGAGACUGAGCAAUAACAGGUCUGUGAUGCCCUUAGAUGUCCGGGGCUGCACGCGCGCCACAAUGGGCGGAUCAACGUGUGCCUACCCUGCGCCGACAGGCGCGGGUAACCCGUUGAACCCCGCCCGUGAUGGGGACCGGGGAUUGAAACUAUUUCCCGAGAACGAGGAAUUCCCAGUAAGCGCAGGUCAUCAGCUUGCGUUGAUUAAGUCCCUGCCCUUUGUACACACCGCCCGUCACACCA
This 691-nucleotide ribosomal RNA is filed under the name Staphylococcus agnetis. RNAcentral describes it as "SSU rRNA". It matches the Rfam family "Eukaryotic small subunit ribosomal RNA", at positions 977 to 1683 of the family's 1831-position model. The record is from RNAcentral. Lineage: Bacteria; Bacillati; Bacillota; Bacilli; Caryophanales; Staphylococcaceae.